UCGGCGGGGGGCAUGGGAAUCCUCCCGGGGGAGGAGGGUCGGACCCCAAAGCCCGGGCCGCAGUGGUCCCCAGACCCCCGGCACCCGCUGGGGCCCUCCGAGAGAGCACCGGCCGAGGCACUGGCAUGAAAUACAGGUAUGGGGGUGGCGGGCAGCCUGCCACAUCUGCUCCCCUUUCCUGAUCCCUGAGGCUUCCUGGGAUGCUGCCAGGACCCCCUCAGACUUCUCUAAGAAGGUCCCGGCUCAUUCCAUCUUCUCUUCCCACCACUAGCACUCCCUUACGUGGUCCCUCUCUUGCUCGCUCUCCGUCCACACCCCUGACUAGUAGAAAAUCAAGUUUACCAAGGUUGACCAGGCCUGUCAGACCCAGGGGAUGCCCCUACACUUCCCUCCAUCCCCCCAGGAAAGCCAGGAAUGCACGGAUCUCCAGGCUGUGCAACUGCCCCCUCCCCCCACCCCUCCAUCCCCCAUGGUGUGUCCUUGGGUAAUGUCCUGGGAAGAGAGGGGAAGGAAACGGCUUCUCACUCUGGCCUGCUCAGGGUGCCUGACCCAGAUACUGUCCUCACAUGCCCCAAGGUCUCUUGCAACCUUUCUUGGUGGGGAGGGAAGUAGGGCCCUCAGAAGGAUGGACCACAUCUCUCAACCCUGUGCUGAGGGGCAGGGGCCUGGCGGGGAGGUGGACUGAAAUGUAACCGACUUUUUCUCAGAGAACUGCUGGGCUCUCAGGACUACCAGUAGGGGGGAGGGGAGGGGCUCCUGCUUGGGAGUGAGCAGAGGUCACUGAUAUGACCUGGCUUUGUCACUCCAUGUGGCAGCCCUGAUUGGGAAGCUGAGCAUGGGGGGUGCCUUGGGAGGAGGGGGCUUUCUGGUUUGAAGACAGACUUAACAAGCCAACAGGAGCAGAGGGAGUAGAGAGGGGAAAAGGGAGUAGAGAGGGGAAAAGGGAGAACUGGUCUUUCCUCUCAUACUCCCCACCCAGGUGUCCUACCUGCCUUUGUUGGAGGCCCAUCUGCCUAGCCCGUCCAAGGACCCUUGCCUGCCUGAGUGCCUGAACUUGACUUGGUUUACCCCUUCCACUCCAGUGUCUGCCCUUUAGCACAGCACUCUCUGAGGAUCUGUUUUCACAAACUCAUCACAAUUAACCAGUCACGUUCCUCCCAGUCACCCCCCACCCGACUCCACAUAUCCCACAGAUGACUCAAACACACACAAGACCCACCAGCAGAAAUGGUAGGCAGGCAGCACAUCUUCAAUGCGAUAGGAGGGGACAGAGGCACUGGACAGUGGCUGCAGAGGAACAGUCAUUGUUCACUUAUGCUAUGGCCAUCACAUUGCCCAAUUCAGUGGGCCCACUGAGUCUAGUUUCUUCGGACUGAGACACCCUGAAGGCAUCUCAGUCUGGAAAGAGAGGAGCUAGAGGCUGAUAAUCUAUGUCCCUAAUGGAGGCUGCACCCCUUCCUGCUGCUUCUAUGUCUUGCAGGAACCUAGGAAAGUCUGGUCUUCGUGUAUCCUGCCUUGGCCUAGGUACCUGGGUCACAUUUGGUUCUCAGAUCUCCGAUGAGGUAUAAGUGAUGGGACCUAGAAGCAGGACAGCAGAGGAUGUGCUGACAGUAGCCUAUGAGCAUGGUGUAAACCUGUUUGACACGGCCGAAGUGUAUGCAGCAGGAAAGGCUGAAAGAACCCUAGGCAACAUCCUCAAGAGCAAAGGUUGGAGGAGAUCAAGCUAUGUCAUCACCACCAAGAUUUUCUGGGGAGGACAGGCAGAAACUGAGCGAGGCUUGAGCCGCAAGCACAUCAUUGAGGGCUUGCGAGGAUCCCUGGAACGCCUCCAGCUGGGAUACGUGGACAUCGUCUUCGCCAAUCGCUCAGACCCCAACAGUCCCAUGGAGGAGAUUGUGCGAGCCAUGACCUACGUCAUCAACCAGGGCCUGGCCCUGUACUGGGGGACGUCCCGAUGGGGGGCCACAGAAAUCAUGGUGAGUGUGCCACCCACUUGCCCCUGUCCCACGACUUGUUCCCACUUUUCAUACGGCCACUCCAAACCCCGCUCUACUGCAGGAGGGGGAUGGAAGAAAAUGGAGUGGUCUGACUCCCAUCUCUUCCCCACCCCAACCCAGGAGGCCUACUCCAUGGCCAGACAGUUCAAUCUGAUUCCUCCAGUGUGUGAACAAGCUGAGCACCACCUGUUUCAGAGAGAGAAGGUGGAGAUGCAGCUGCCAGAGCUCUACCACAAGAUUGGUUCGAAGUCCCCUCAUCCCUACCUUUCCCUUGGCCUCACCAUCACCGAGAUCCCUUUCCCACAUCCAAUCCUCUUCCUCUUAGGUGUUGGCUCAGUCACCUGGUCCCCUCUGGCCUGUGGCCUCAUCACUAGCAAGUAUGAUGGGCGAGUCCCAGAUACCUGCAGGGUCACCAUCAAGGGCUACCAAUGGCACAAAGACAAAGUGCAGAGCGAGGAUGGCAAGAGGCAACAAGCCAAAGUCAUGGACCUCCUCCCCAUCGCUCACCAGCUGGGCUGCACUGUGGCGCAGCUGGCUAUUGGUGAGGCCCUGCCAGCCCUGGACCCCGCAGGGGCCUUGUCUCCUCCUGAGACACUGCCAAACCGCAGACUGGUUUGUCCUGGGGAGGACCCCUCUGAAGGCUGUGUGCUCACUGUUUCCCACCAGUUCUCUCUCUUUUUAUUUCUCCUUCUCUGGCCCAGCGUGGUGUCUCCGCAGUGAGGGUGUCAGCUCGGUCUUGCUGGGGGUGUCCAGUGCAGAGCAGUUGAUGGAACACCUGGGCGCCCUGCAGGUGCUGAGUCAGCUGACCCCGCAGACGGUGAUGGAGAUAGACGGGCUCCUGGGCAACAAACCGCAUCCCAAGAAAUAAUACGUCGGGGGCGCAGGGACCCAAAUGGGUGCAUCCCCAGAACCGCUUCUCCGCCUCCGCCGCCGCCUCCCUCCCGCUCCGGAUCCCUCCACGCGGCGGCCAGAGCCAGGGCGGCCCCGCCCACUAACGAGUUCCAGCUUGGAGUAGCGAUAGCAUGAACAAAGCCAUAUCCUCCCGCAGUGGGGCUUGAGAGGGAAAGUAGUCCGCCGCCCCCUGCUGCGUUCUCCUAGGCCUUCCUGCUAAUCCUGGGCAUGAGCUGCUGGACCGUCCCCUCUCUUCCCUUAAUCGUUGAGGCCCAGGGGGGACAAAAGGCAGAUACACGAUCCAUGCAGAGUACCUCAAAAGUGGCCCUUGAAAUGUCAUCAAGGGGUAACAACCUAAUAAGAAGUGAGUUGUGAUGUCAUAUGGGACGAAGGACAUGGAGCUCUUACAUUCGUUACAAAGGAAGCCAGGCUGGUCCUGGCAGGAAGUAAAUGAUAAUCUUUGGGAAACCAAGACCCUGCCUCAGCCAGGAUGUGGAGGAGGGCUGAAAACUAGAACUGG
Molecule: RNA transcript, 3408 nt
Organism: Hippopotamus amphibius kiboko
Lineage: Eukaryota; Metazoa; Chordata; Mammalia; Artiodactyla; Hippopotamidae
Gene: KCNAB3
Gene name: potassium voltage-gated channel subfamily A regulatory beta subunit 3
Exons: 10
Source: RefSeq, a predicted model, not a curated record